Long non-coding RNA from Etheostoma cragini (Arkansas darter), 185 nucleotides. RefSeq lists it as uncharacterized. Lineage: Eukaryota; Metazoa; Chordata; Actinopteri; Perciformes; Percidae. The record is from RefSeq and is a predicted model, not a curated record. The transcript is spliced from 4 exons.
GUUGUUUUACCCACAACGGCAGCCGCAACUGUUAAGUCCCGGUGUUGGAAUCCUCGACAUCGAAAUAGAGUCACACACUGUUUAACGUUAGCUGUCUGCUUUGAACCGCAUUUAAUCCAGCUGCUAGCUAAUGCUAGGCUAAUGUUACCAGCUGUCAAGUGUAUUAUUUUAAUGUAAACAUCUGU